CAUGGCCAUAUCACCCUGAACACGUGAUCUUGCUGACCUCAGAAGAUAAGCAGGGCUGGGUGUGGUUAGUACUUGGGUGGAAGAAGUUACUUAUUAAUGUAAUGA
Molecule: ribosomal RNA, 105 nt
Filed under: Jaculus jaculus (lesser Egyptian jerboa)
Lineage: Eukaryota; Metazoa; Chordata; Mammalia; Rodentia; Dipodidae
Source: RNAcentral